Papio anubis (olive baboon) is the source of this 107-nucleotide small nuclear RNA. The record is from Ensembl. Lineage: Eukaryota; Metazoa; Chordata; Mammalia; Primates; Cercopithecidae.
GUGCUCACUUUGGUAGCACAUAUAUUAAAAUUAGAAUGAUACAGAGAAGAUUAGCAUGGCCCCUGUGAAAGGACGACAAGCAAAUUCAUGAAGCAUUCCAUAUUUUU